GAAAGCCGUGUGAUAUGACUCUUAUUUGACAAAAUUUCAACAGAGCUCGAGCCGCAUAAUGAGACAACGAAACAAAGUGCCGUCGUGCCGUCAAACAUAAACGCAUCUUCCAAAUGGGACAACGCAAAUGAAUCUUAAACUUGUAGAUUUAACGGUGCUUUUGACAGUCACGGCCAUAUUAACUUGCAUAAUGUGAAAAUAACCGGCGAAAAUAAAUAAUGGUCUUCACUUUGUAUUCAUGAAACUCAAGAAUGCUAACCUUGGUAAAGAAGAUAAACAUGACAAAUAAAUUGUGUGGAGCAAAUGAUCUGUUUUACAAAAGCAAUGCUAAAGAAACACUCAGACUUUCGAACAUCGUGUCUGGCAAAUCCAUGCUGUUCAAGAUAUUCAAGUGGACGUGAAGUGUAAGAUGGUCAGAGCAAUUUGUGUAAAGUAUCUCCGGAACCUGAGACAAUGGCUGUCGACACUUCGCCGACAAAGGGUCGGCCACGGGGCUAUUAGUCAGACGCACAAGUGACAUGGACAAGCAUACAGAUGAGACACAGGAUAUUCGAGUCAAGACAUCGGUCAAGCGACAUAGAGACAGACACGUCGUAAAUGCAAAGAAUAAGUAGAAUGUCAUAAAACCAUUUACAAUGCAUGAUUUGUUUUCAUCACAUUUAUUUAAUCGAUCUUAUAGUAUCUUAUUAAUUGUGAUAUAGUGAUUGCGUAUAACGGUAUGAGAAUUAUGACACCGCUGAGGUGAAUAUAGGUUAUAUGAAUUUUAAUAGAUAUGUUGCUUCGAUUGCGGUAUACAUCGUGUGCAAUUUUUAUUAUUACAAAAAUGUAUUACCAGUAUUAGUAGAUAUUCUUGCAUCUCUUUAAAAAUGCCAAUGACAUUAUUAUGUGUUACUAGUUUCAUUGUAUUUUAUGGAACCUAAAACAAUAGGUUUUAAAUUUUAACAUCGCUCAGUUAUGGGUGUGUUUAUCUGUGUGUUUAUGCAAAUUAAUAUUUUUGCAUAAAUAUAAAUGCACAUCUUUAACAAUAAAUUUUAAUUUCAAUGUGAAGUUUUGGGAACGUUUCAUACCUACUUGUUUGAUCGAAUUGUUUGUAAAUAAUCAAUGAUAACAUUCAUUAUUAUUAUUUGGAACGUCAACUACUUGUUAAAUUAUUUACAUUAACAUGGAACAAUGCAGCAGAAUCUAUUCUAAUUUCAUUCUGAUUAUCAUUAGGAAUAUUAUUUUUUUCAUUCAAACCAAUACAUGCAAUAUCAAUAAGACGUUUUUAUAAUAUUGUCUUUUACAUUAAAUUAUACCUAAGU
This is a long non-coding RNA of Plodia interpunctella (Indianmeal moth), 1301 nucleotides long. RefSeq lists it as uncharacterized. The record is from RefSeq and is a predicted model, not a curated record. The transcript is spliced from 2 exons. NCBI's taxonomy places the organism in Eukaryota, Metazoa, Arthropoda, Insecta, Lepidoptera, Pyralidae.